RNAcentral lists this ribosomal RNA (169 nucleotides) under uncultured Desulfocapsa sp. RNAcentral describes it as "partial 16S ribosomal RNA". It matches the Rfam family "Bacterial small subunit ribosomal RNA", at positions 1216 to 1382 of the family's 1533-position model. The record is from RNAcentral. Lineage: Bacteria; Pseudomonadati; Thermodesulfobacteriota; Desulfobulbia; Desulfobulbales; Desulfocapsaceae.
ACACACGUGCUACAAUGGCCGGUACAAAGGGCAGCGACACAGCGAUGUGAAGCGAAUCCCGAAAAAGCCGGUCUCAGUCCGGAUUGGAGUCUGCAACUCGACUCCAUGAAGUUGGAAUCGCUAGUAAUCGCGGAUCAGCACGCCGCGGUCGAAUACGUUCCCGGGCCUU